This 1732-nucleotide long non-coding RNA is filed under the name Canis lupus familiaris (dog). RNAcentral describes it as "lncRNA (ENSCAFG00000054822.1, ENSCAFG00805025634.1, ENSCAFG00845029034.1)". Lineage: Eukaryota; Metazoa; Chordata; Mammalia; Carnivora; Canidae. The record is from RNAcentral.
GUAUACCAAUUUAAAGUUUAUUAGUGAUCUAUUUAUUAAUAAUCUCUACACCCAACGUGGGGCUUGAACUUACAACCCCAAGGUCAAGAGUCACAUGUUCUUCAGACUGAGCCAGCCAGGCGCCCCUCAGUCUACCAAUUUAAAUGUUCAUCUCAUCCAAAAAACACCUUCACAGAAACACUUGGAAUAAGGUUUGGCCAAAUAGCUGGGUAUCCCAUGGCCCAGGCAACUUGAUACCUAAACUGAGCUGUUACAGCCACGUCUGUAUUAUCACAUGCUAGUCCUGGGGUGCGCAACACUUAGGUUUACAGAAUGUUUUUGCUGAUACUCUCUUUUUAUUCUUACAAAUCCUUGUCGGGGAGCGGGUACUGGGGCAGGUGCUGAAGGCACUGUCCCUAUUUUACAGAUGAGGAGGCUGGGAAGCUAUCCAGGCCAAAAGCUGUGGAGCCAGGGCUGGAUGCAGCACCUUCUAAGAACCUUUAGGCAGAGAUGAAAGGUUAACUGGCCCAAGCUUUCAGACAUGCACUCAAAAGCGUGGGUGUGGGGGCACCUGGCUCACGUUGCCCUCUCUAUCGUCCCAUAACUUGGAAAGGUAGGAUGAUCCCCAUUCUCCAACGAGGAGAUGGAGACUCCAGUGGGAAAGGAGCCUGCCUAUGAUCACACAGCAAUCAGGACUUGAACUUAGGUUGCUGUCCUCCAGAUCCAUGCUCCAGAGCAGUGCUUCCCAACUAGGGGCAAUUGUCUUCCAGGGGACCUUUGGCAAUGUCGGGAGGCAUUUUUUGGUUGUCACAACAAGGGACAGGGGUGCUACUGGCAUCCAGGGGGGAGAAGCCAGGGAUGUUGCUGAACAUCCUACACCACACAGGCCAAGCCGUCACACCAGAAAGUUAUCUGGCCCAGGGUGUCACUACUGAGGUCCAGAAACCUUGCUCCAGUGGUUCUCAGCCUGGGCUAUGCCUCAGACUCAUUUGGGGGCUUUAAGAAUCCUGAUACCCAGGCUGCCCCUGACCAUUUACACCAGAGUCUCUGGGGUUGGUCCCCAGUGUUGUUUUUGAGUUUACCAGAUGGUUCCAAUGUGCAGCCAGGACUGCUCUAAACUACUUAUACUGGGGGCUUCUGCUCCCUUUGUGGGGCUCUGUGGGAGGAGGACCAAACCUAUCUGGGUUGUACAGUAAACAGCAAUGCUCUGCUUGACCAGGACUCUGAUUCAUCAGUUCCUUUCUUGGAGAUGCACUACUAAUGAGUGGCUGGUGAGGGUUCUGGAGGGCCAGUGAGGUAAAUGCUGCUGGCUAAUCUUUCCCUCACCUCUCUGGGGGCCACCACCAAGAAUCUCCCCCAGGUGGCUGUAAAAGCUUCCAGAAGACUGUGGCUCAAAGAGCGAGGCUGCCACCUAGUGGAGGAAUGGGACAGGAUGGCCCCGGUGAUUUUAUUUGAUUCUCACAAAGAGCCCUGGGGAGGGAGGUGCCAACAAGGGCUCCAAGGCCCAGAAGGAUGGAGCCAUGUGCUCAAGGUCCCCACUGGGACAGGGUUUGAGCCUGGAUUUGCACCCAUCUAGUCCACAAGAGGAACCCGGGCCUCCCUCUACAUUCUCACACGGGUUCCAGAGGAACAGGACCCCUGGACUUGGCUGCCUGAUUCCCUUCUUGUCUUCCAGGCAGGGCCCAGGAGCGGAGACCCUCUCUGCCAGCACAUCUUAGAGAUUUUUUUUUCAUCUUAGAGAUUAUUAACAAGC